CCUGGCCUCAAGAGAUCCUCCCACAUCAGCCUCCCAAAGUGUUGGAAUUACAAGAGUGAGCCACUGUGCCUGACCUAUAAUCUCUUUUUAAUAGAACCAUUCUACUGAACUUUGAAUUUUACCCUUGAGAUGACACGUAUGGAAAAGUUUUAAGCAGAUAAGUGACAUCAAAUUUAAUUUUCAGGUGAAUGACACCAGUGGUGAGUGAAGGGUGGGCUGAAGUGGGUUGAACCUCAUGGCAAAGAGCCAAGUGGAGGCUAUUUAGUAUUCAUGGAAGAGAUUUGAGGAACUGCACUGAGUAUAGAAAGGGAUGGAUUGAAGAGCUAUGAGUGAGGCAGAGUCACCAGUGCUUGGUAAGGGGGAGGGGCAGGGAACAACCUUACAUGCUCCUUAAGUUUCAUUCAUGGGCAAAUAGAGAACACAGUGGAAGGAGUAACUUUUGAGGAAAAGUUAAAGGUCAGUUUUGACUCUGUUGAGUGAAAGAUCUAAAGGACAACGGAGGAUAAUUCCAGAAGGUCUGAGGCUCAGAGGAGACAAAUGAAGUGGAGAAACAGACCUGGCUGCUGGCUGAUGGCUCAAGGAGAUGCUGUCAAAACUGGAGAAAAGAAAGCCCCUGGCACAUGCCAGGCAUUUCACUAAGUGUAUGCUACAUUCACACUUAUUGGUUAGUUUGUAUGGUAUAUAUGCUAAUUUCUAGAGUGGAUACAUAUCUAUCUACCUCAUCUCUUUUCCUUUUUCUUUCAGAAUAGACUUUUUUGAAUCAAUUUGGCUUUUCAUCAAUUCUUCGUGAUUGUGAGUCCGACUCCAAUGGGAGUUUCCUGCAAUGUCAGUCAUGCCUGGUGUUAAUUUGGGGCUAAUUUUGUUUUAUCAUACACAUUUAAAUCUCAUUCCCUGUUGUAGCUGGGGCUUCAUUUAGCCAAUAAGAAGGAUGUUUUGGUUCUGAAAGCCUAGCUGUCUGCUUAUCACCCAUUGCCCUCUUGUGAACUGUCCCAAGUUGUGUCUAAAGCCAACAACAAACCUAACUUGGUUAAGUGUUGUAAAAAAUGAGGAGCCUCAGAGUUGCAUGCCUUUUAGAAUUUACGAAAGCAGCCAAACCAAACAAACUUCAAAGUUGUUUUGCCAGGGAUAGAGGUCUUCAUCCUCCAAGCAGUGGGACAUCUGGAUUUCUGUAUGAAGCUUCCUUGGUUUGUUUCAGAAAUAAAUGCCAGCCCCAAGUGUCAGUAGUCUGUGAUGAAAUGGCAAAGAACUGAGAGACCCCGACAUGGCUGGAUAAUCACCAGAUCAUCUUUCACCACUACACUACUUCUAAAUCUGUCCUCCCCAGCUAGAGGAUUCUCCUGGAAUAUGGUGACUAUGAUGUAUCUCAUUUUAGGUACCUUAUACUGCAUGGAAUGGUGAGAAUCAAUAGAAGGAACCAGAACUAGGAUUCAUUUUCUAAUAAAUGUGUGGCUGGGAAAGAAGCCUGGGAUGAUGCUCAUCCCACUAAAACAGUCCUAUUCAAUUUAAGUUAAAUACAUUUUAUUUAUUAAAAAAAUUUU
This is a long non-coding RNA of Sapajus apella (tufted capuchin), 1538 nucleotides long. RefSeq lists it as uncharacterized. Lineage: Eukaryota; Metazoa; Chordata; Mammalia; Primates; Cebidae. The record is from RefSeq and is a predicted model, not a curated record. The transcript is spliced from 2 exons.